GUACGGCCGCAAGGUUAAAACUCAAAUGAAUUGACGGGGGCCCGCACAAGCGGUGGAGCAUGUGGUUUAAUUCGAUGCAACGCGAAGAACCUUACCUGGUCUUGACAUCCACGGAAGUUUUCAGAGAUGAGAAUGUGCCUUCGGGAGCCGUGAGACAGGUGCUGCAUGGCUGUCGUCAGCUCGUGUUGUGAAAUGUUGGGUUAAGUCCCGCAACGAGCGCAACCCUUAUCCUUUGUUGCCAGCGAUUAGGUCGGGAACUCAAAGGAGACUGCCAGUGAUAAACUGGAGGAAGGUGGGGAUGACGUCAAGUCAUCAUGGCCCUUACGACCAGGGCUACACACGUGCUACAAUGGCGCAUACAAAGAGAAGCGACCUCGCGAGAGCAAGCGGACCUCAUAAAGUGCGUCGUAGUCCGGAUUGGAGUCUGCAACUCGACUCCAUGAAGUCGGAAUCGCUAGUAAUCGUGGAUCAGAAUGCCACGGUGAAUACGUUCCCGGGCCUUGUACACACCGCCCGUCACACCAUGGGAGUGGGUUGCAAAAGAAGUAGGUAGCUUAACCUUCGGGAGGGCGCUUACCACUUUGUGAUUCAUGACUGGGGUGAAGUCGUAACAAGGUAACCGUAGGGGAACCUGCGGUUGGAUCACCUCCUUACCUGAAAGAA
This 663-nucleotide ribosomal RNA is filed under the name Salmonella enterica. RNAcentral's name for it is "bacterial SSU rRNA". It matches the Rfam family "Bacterial small subunit ribosomal RNA", at positions 880 to 1533 of the family's 1533-position model. The record is from RNAcentral. RNAcentral also lists the same sequence under 1 other name. Lineage: Bacteria; Pseudomonadati; Pseudomonadota; Gammaproteobacteria; Enterobacterales; Enterobacteriaceae.